Molecule: ribosomal RNA, 423 nt
Filed under: uncultured bacterium
Lineage: Bacteria
Description: bacterial SSU rRNA
Rfam family: Bacterial small subunit ribosomal RNA
Source: RNAcentral
GGGCCCGCACAAGCGGUGGAGCAUGUGGUUUAAUUCGAUGCAACGCGAAGAACCUUACCAGGGCUUGACAUACUACAAAUUCUUUUGAGAAAAAGAAGUGCCUUCGGGAAUGUAGAUACAGGUGGUGCAUGGCUGUCGUCAGCUCGUGUCGUGAGAUGUUGGGUUAAGUCCCGCAACGAGCGCAACCCUUAUUUUUAGUUACCAAUUCGUUGGGUUCUCUAGAAAGACUGCCGGUGACAAACCGGAGGAAGGUGAGGAUGACGUCAAGUCAGCAUGCCCCUUAUGCCCUGGGCUACACACGUGCUACAAUGGCUAAGACAAAGAGUCGCGAGCUCGCAAGAGUCAGCUAAUCUCAUAAACUUAGUCUAAGUUCAGAUUGUAGGCUGCAACUCGCCUACAUGAAGUUGGAAUCGCUAGUAAUCG